Molecule: long non-coding RNA, 39145 nt
Filed under: Vitis vinifera (wine grape)
Lineage: Eukaryota; Viridiplantae; Streptophyta; Magnoliopsida; Vitales; Vitaceae
Description: long non-coding RNA (VVIN_LNC006177)
Source: RNAcentral
ACUUUCCAUGAGGUAGCAUGCAAACAAUGUAGGAUGUUUGAAUGCCCUAAAAAGGGCGUUCAAAGGUCCUUUUGUGUUUUCCCACCUUAUUUUAUUUUUCGUCAUAAAUUUACUUUGAAUUUCAAUUCAAUUCCAAAUUUAAUAUUUAUUGUAAUAUCAUAACACUCCAAAUAUAUAUUUACCUCAAUCAAAUUUCAAGUUUAAGUAUAUUAAACUUACUCAUGAUGGUAAAUGACAAAAUCAAUGCAUAAAUGAAAUACAAAUUGUCAAACUAAUCUAAAACAUCAUCACGUAGUUGUGAUAUGACUUUAUUUUAUUUUUCACUUUUUGAGUCUAUGCAAUUGAAAUAGACAUCUUUCUUCUCCUUCUUCAUUUUGACAUUAAUAUCCGUGUAAUCGCGAACACACACAUAUCUUAAAAUUACACAUACAUAUAUCUUAAAAUGAGAGUCAUUGAGAGCUUGGAAUGGUUGACAUUUCUUGAUGUUUGUUAGAAAGUAACAUCAUCUCUUAUAAGCUAAUUUUAGUUUCUAAUACGUUGCCUUCUUUAUUGUGAUUUGAAGUAUUAUUAUUAUUAUAAGAAAGUGAUUAUUAUAGGCAAUCGCUUUUAUAUCGUGAUUAUUAUAUACAAUCAACUUUAUACCGUGAUUAUUAUAUACAAUCAACUUUAUACCAUAAACACUCGAACGUAAUAAAAUUUGUCAAUGACAGAUUCAUCAACUUGUUUUGGAUAACGAUCUGAAAGACAAUUUUUUUCCUUUUUAUUUUUAUAACUAAUUUUAAUUACACAUUGAUUUUUAAUAAAAAUGUCUUUAUCAUCUUCCGAUCUAACUUCUAUUGCUACACAUGGUAAGAAACCUACGAAGACCUUAAGUGAUGACGACAAAAGAUAUUCUGUCUCCAACUCUAAGUCUUAUUGAGGUUUUGUACGGAGAUGCCUCCUAUUAACGAAGAGUGAACUGAUAAUCAAGUGUAAACAGCGACUGAAACUUGGGAUCAUUCUAAAUUUUUGUGCUAAGGACUAUACUUUAAAUGGUCUGAACAACAUGAAUAACAUCCAAUAAUGUCAUGAAGGGCUUAUGAAUUGCAGGAAGACAACCCUACUUACCUGAAAGAUAAAAGGCAUGUUUGGGCCCUCCAUUUUAUUGUACCACUCGAGACCCAUUUAAUUUGAAAUAUAAAAAUUUAGGAGAUGGCCCUUGUGAUCUCAAAUUUUGAAAUUUGAAGCUAUACAACCAAAGGAAUAGAGAGUAGUAAUUAAAAUAUUUUUUAUAUUUUUAAUUAUUUUUUAACCAAAUUAAAAUAAAAUCAAACACUAGAAAAAGGUUAUAAAUUUCUUCUAAAAAAUGGUUUCAAAAUAGACCUCAUAAUGUUUUAUAAUUAUGGAUAUAAGUAUCCAUUUUGAUACAUUUUUAUUUUUUUGUUUUCAAAAUAUAAAUAAUAAUAAUUUUUAUAUAAGAUAUAAGAAAUUUUAGAUAUUUUCAUCGAACAUGUAAUAAUUUUAAAAAAUUAAGGCAUUUAAAUUUUAAAAAUUUUGCAAGUGAUUUUAAAGAUAUAAGGUAAGUUUAUAAUUUUUUGUGGUCAAAGUUUCUAAUUAUAAAUAAAAAAAUUUAUUCUAAUUAUUUUUUAAUAAAGUAAUAUUUUAAUAUUUAAGAAAUUUAAUUUAAACAAAAGAGAAUGAAAUGAAUUUGAGGAUAUCACUUUCCUUUAUUGGGAAUCGUGUUUUUCAAAACAUUUUUCUUUAGAACCCGACAGGACCACGCAACUUAAACCUCAAGCGGGUCUAUCCACGUGGCGACCACUCUAAGGUUCUCAUUCUGAAAAAUACCGAAACACCCCCAAAAGGAGCACGUGCAUGCGCGUCGCUCCACAUGUCCAGAUCCGUUAAAGAGCGGGAAAAGCCAUUCAUUUCAAAUUCAAAAAUUUCAAACGGUUCUAAGCCAAAGCACAGUAAACACCGAUACCAAAAGCUCUUCUCUCUCUACAGUUUCAUCGCCUGCGAUUUCUACCAGUAUGAGGUAUUUCCAUUUGCAUAGAUCCGUUUCUUUUCUUCUUCUUUUUUUGCAUUUUUUAUUGUAUUUUCUAUCAUUUUUGUUCUCCGCAGAGAUGGAUUUUCGCGGUAUGAAGAGGAAACAACUACAAGCGCUGUGCAAGCAGCAUGGUGUUCCAGCGAAUUCGACGAAUCUUGAGAUGGCUGAUAGGCUCUCCUUGUUUUUUAAGGUUUGGAGUUUACCUUAGCCUUGUUUCCUUUGAUUUUUCUUCUUUUCUGAGAAUGUUCAGGAAAACACAAGAAAUUAGAAUUUUGUAAUUUUGUUUUUUCUCAACUGUUUUCCGUGUCACUAAAUAAGAAUCUUCAAUGAAAUGUGUCCGAUACAACUAUAUGUGGAAUAGAACUUAUAAUUUAGGAAAAGACAAGGAACCAAAAAAUUUAGUGAUUAAAUUUUUUUAUUGUUUUGGAAUAAAGCAAUGAAAAUCUUUACUAUAAUGAGUCCAAAUUCAAGUGUAUGGAACUGAAAUAAGGAAUAUGUCUCUUUUUGGUUGUGAGAAAAUUCAGGAAAAAAUAUGAAGUAAAAUAUUUAGGUAAUUCAGCUUUUCCAUUGUUUGAGGUUUGGGAAACAAGAGUUUUCACUGAAAUGAGUCCUUUAAAACUAUAUGGAAACUGAAAUAACAAGGAUUAAGUUCAGGGAAAGAAAAGGGACUAAAUUUUUUUGUACUUUUGCUUCUCAUCGAGUGGAACCUGGGAAAUAAUUCACUGAAAUGGGUGAAAUUCAAUUAUAUGCAAGCUAAAAUAAAAGGCAAUAUGAGAGUUAGAAGUUUGUUUUGUUUUCUUAAUUUACUUGGUCUCCCUGGCAACCUAACUGAGGUUGAACUUUAAUUGGGAAAUAGAUGCAUGAUUUUUUUCUGUAAUUCUUUGUUGCAGGAAAAGGAAAAACCAGUGACGCAAGGUCGGUCUUGCUUGAAGAAUCUGGAUGGGAUAGAUAGCCUAAAUGAUUCUAAUGCUGUCACCUGCGAUCCCAAGAGAGUUAGGUUUAGUCCUGAAAAUGAGACGUUUGAAUUUGAGGAUUCUGAGAUAGACAGGGAAAACACCCCAGCAAGAACAAGGGCGGCAAGGGCGGCAAGGAGGUCUAGGGUGAGACUGGCUAAAGAGAAAGUGAGUCCUGUUGGUGCAAAUGCUGGAAAUAGUGAGUCCUGUGAGGAAACUAAAGGUACUCUGAACAGAAUCACGAGGCACCAAGGACAAAAAAUCAUAGAGGGGCAUGCAGUGAAGUCUUCAUCACCUCUUGUUAAGGAAAAGGGGGCGAAAAAAGGCACAAAGAUCAAAAGUACAGUUUCAGAAAUUGUUGAUAAAAGUGCUAAGUUAUCCCCAGUAUUAGAAAUGGAUGACAAUGCACGUGGUAAAGAAAACGGAAGACCGAUAAGAAGGCAAUUGAGGAGUAGGGAGGUGGUAGUUGAGAAUGCCAGUGAACUAGGAAAUGAAGAUUCUAUCAUUCCAAAGAAGAAUCCAGUGCAGACAAGAUCAAAGAGGAGGAAUCCGAAAGAUAGUAAUGAGGUUCUUACCACAGAUGAAAUUUCCGAAGACAUUAUUAGUGAAGGAGAAGGUGAAAAAAUUGAAACUGGAAAGGUCUUUAGGCAAUCUAAACGGAAGGCGAUAGAAGAUGGCGAGUGUGAACUGUUUGGUGGGGAAUUGGGGAAAAGGAAAACGGUUGGAAGGAUCACAAGGUUCCGGGCCCAGUUGGUGGGGCGAGAAGCAUCUGCUGUUGAAGGUGAAAAUGAGACUGGAGAUGAAUCUGAAGUCCAGGUUUCAAAAGACUCUGAAGCUGUUCUUCAACUCAAAGAGCCUGCUAAGUUAGGUAGAAACACUUUGAGGCAGAAAUCUGCAAUUUCUCAAUCAGAUCCAUCUGUGAGAACAGAGACCAGAAAACAAUGGAAGGGCACAAGUUUGGAAGGAGGAGCCUCUGAGACUGAAGUGAGUAUGAAAGAGAAGGAAAAGGUUUCUCUACCUAAUGGCCCUCUAAGGAGGUCCAGACGCAACACUUUAGCAUUUAAGUCUACUGUUUCUCCUGAUGGAGGGUUGGUAACUCAUGAAGCUGUUGGAAGGAAUCAGCAAUUGAAGCACUUGGGAGAACCAAUUACAGAAAAAGAAGCCUCUAAACCUGAGGCAACUGCUGAAAUUUUGAAAGAAAAUGAGAAGGUUUCUCUACACAAUGGCCGUCUGAGGAGAUCCAGACGCAACACUUCAACAUUUAAGUCUAGUGCCCCUGCUGCUGAUGGAAAUUUGGUGACUGGCGAAACUGUUGGAAGGAAUGAGCAGUCAAAGUGCUUGAGAGAAUCAACUCCAGAAAAAGAAGCUUCUGUAACUGAAGCACCUUUGAGAAGGUCCAAGCGGAAUGCUUCUAGGCAUGAUUCAAUAUCUGCAUCCACAGGAAUGGAUGGCAUUCCUAAUGCCAUUGGAAAGAAUAAGCCACAGAAGAGAAGUCUGCAGCCAAUUCUCGAAGAAGAAACUUCUGUGAUUGAGAAGGAGCCUCUAAUUGAAGAACUUCCAAGACAAUCUAAAUAUAAUGCUUCCAAAUGUAACAUAGUUGGACCUGCUAGAGUAGCUGGUGAAGUUAAGGGAAAGAAGAAGCAGCGGAGGAGAUCAAAAUUUCCAAGCUCAAAAGGGGAAGCUCCAUUAACUGAAAGCAUGUUGGAUAUUGAAGAAACACCAGGCAUAGAUGUUGAAUUGUCAGAGCCAGAAGCUGCAGGAAGCAAAAGUUCAGUUUUGAUCCACCAAGAAGGAACUCCUAAAGAUAAAGAUACUAGUAAGAAGAGGAAGAGCUCCAGGAAGAUAUCUAGUGCAAAGAAGCAGCAACAUGGGUCAGUGGAGGUUUGCCCUGUAAUUUCUGACUUAGAGGAAGUUGAGGAUCGCACAACAGUGAAUUUCAAGGAUAUUCCAUCCCAAUCUGCAGCUGCCAUAGAGGAGGAUAUUGUUGAGGAUCUCACAACAGUGAACUUGGAGGACAUUCCAUCUCAAUCUGCAGUUUCUGUAGAAGAGGAUAUUUCAAUGGAAAAUGAUAAGGAAAAUUUGGUUCAAGAUAAAGUUAAUGAAGGUAACAAGGUUGAUAAAGAAUCUCAGUUCCACAACAUGAGAAGUGAUCUUGAUUAUGAUAAUUCAGUUGAACCACAAGGAAAUCAAUAUUCAAGUAGAGUUAGCAAGGAACUGGUCUCUCCAGUCUUUGACUUCUCAUCUGUCCAGCAACCAGAUUACACUGGUAAGUGUCUGUUGGCUUUUGGGACCAUAAUCGGUUUAGUAUUUUUUUCAUAUAAUUGAUUACUCAGUGAUCAACAAUUUUCAGGAUCAUCUGCUAAUCAUGUGAAGUUGCAGAGAGAACUGGAAACUGAAGAAGAGCUAUCUGCAGGCAAGCAUAUAGAUCCAGCAAGUGAUAUUUUUGUUGAUCUUGCAGCUGAAGAUGACAAAACUUCAGUUGAAAAGGAGCAGAAGUUAGGACUAGGAGAGAUGAAUGGUUGUGCUGAACCAGUCAUGCAUGAGUUAGAGGAGAAUGUAACUGAAUCUAAUGAAAGUGGCAGCUCAAAAAGGAACUUCGAAACUUUCAGUGAGGAAUCUGGAGAUAUUGCUUUGCUUAACCCCUCCAAUGGAGAACGGGCCACUCCAAAUAUAUCAGGGAGGAGAGAUAUUGAUGAUGCUGAAGAUCCUGAGGCUGCUGUUGAAUUUCCAGAAAAUGCUGUAGCUUCCCCUGUGGCAGAAAUUGUUGCAGAACAGGUUACAGAAAUCCAGCUUGCCUCAAGUGGUCAAUGGUCUACAGAGGAGACUCCUGUAAAGAUUGUUAUCACACCAGAAUGUCAAAGUAAGUGUGUACUGUAUCCUUUCUUUGUCAAUCAUUAGCCAUCAAAUGGUCUGAUGAUGUUAAAGUUAUACAUAAUUCAAGAAAUUCAUUUGGCCAUUUUCUUCUUUAUUGCAUCUGCUGUUAUAGAUGACAAAGUGGUUGGUUCUUGUUUGCACACUGUCUCAGCAGAUGAUGGUUCUCAAGAAGGUUAGUUCCAUUUAUACAGGGCACUGCAAUCUCCAGUGAGUUUUCUUGCUAAUUUUCUUUUAUUAAACAUGCAGAAGGGUAUCAACUCAAUGCUCAACUUGCUGCACAGUCCCCUGUGCUUGGAAGAAGCAAUCCAAAUCAUGGUGAAGGAGAAAAAUCUUAUAGUUAUGGGAAUGUUAUCAUGGAUGGAACAAUGUGCGGAGGUGAAUUGUCUGUUAGUGAUGCCAGGGAGCGAAGAGAGCAUCCUGUUUUAGACGAGUUAGAUGGUCAAAUUUCCGAGAAGAAGGAAAGUGUAAUGUCAAAGGGAAUCACAAGCGUUUCUAAGGAAAUAAAAGAGACAGGUAAACAUAUACUUUCCCAUAGAGAAGGAAUCUGUCCAAUUACCUCAGCAAAGAGUGAUUGAACUAUUCCUAUGUUAUUGCUCUUCAAUGACAGGCCAUGGGACACCCUCAUGCUCACUGUUAUUGCUUUAGUAACCGUAAAUUGUAAGAAAAGCCUAAUACCAUUCUUGUUCUUGGUUUCAGAUGUUUCCCACUUGGAUUUUCUAUUUGGAACAGCUUCUGGUAUUGUUGAAAGAAGUUUGCCAUCUUGUGAGCACACUCACUUGAAAGACAAAGGUGAAGAGGACCAAGGUUAGUUCCAUAGUUACUUGCUCAGCAUAGGUUACCCUUCAGCAAUUAUUUAAUUAACUCUUUUCUAUUUGAUGUGCCAAAGAUCAACUUAAAAUUCUGUUUGGCAUACUGGUUGACAAUACAGAUCCUAUGGAGCAAGAUGAAGAGUCUACGCAUGUAACUGAAAUGGCGAGCACAACAAUAUCUGCAGGCAAAACUUCCAGUAAUAAUUUGGGAUCUGGAAGGUUCCAUCAUGAGAAGUAUCAAGAAGAUGCAGGAGUAGGGGAAAGUGAUCAUGAGGGAAUAUCUAAUAUGGGCAAUCAAUCACCAGAUGUUAAUGAAGAUAUUUAUAAUGAGGCUUCCAAAGGGAACUUGGAAGUGGAAAUUACAGGACUGGAUGGCUGUGCCUAUCCCUUUCCAAACAAGUUCUCUAAAGAUGAUCAUGCUACAGUCGACAAAGAAAGUGGAGGCUCACAUGUUUACUCCAGAAAUGCUUCAGGAGAGGGCAGAGGUACAAAUGUGGUUGAACUUUCAGUUGGUGAAGGAAUGCCUCCAGGUGUCUCUAUUAUGGAUAAAACUGGAAAUGCUUCUGGGGAGGUUGAAGGGACAAAUGUGGAUGAACCAUCUUUUGAAGGAAUCACUCCAGCUAUCUUAGAAGAGAGAGUUAUUGCUGAAACCAGAGAUUUUGAAGAGGCUGAUAAGCUACUUGAAUUUAAUGCAGAAUCCCAUGUAACACCUGGAAGCACUGCUGGAGAUAUGGAGAAAGAAAUCUAUUUUGCCGAAAUUACUCAAUGUUCUGGUGGAAGUGGAUUUGAUCUUCCUCUCUCACAUGUCUAUGCCCUCGAGCACCAAGGUUUGGAACAAGCUAAUGCCUUCCAUUUUUUGGUUUUUAUUUUAUUUUUCAUUUUACUCUCUGGAAAUCCUUUCUCAUCAUGUUUUUUUUUAAGUACUUUCUCAUGUAACAUUCACAUUUUUAUUCUCAGCCUCUGGUAACGUCCACAAAGAAAUGUCUUUGAGCACACAGAGUCCUCACGUCCAAAAACAAGGUUUGUUCCAUUCUCCAGUGUCUUUUCAGGAUUGAAUGACCAGGCCAAGGUUUAAAAUAUUCUAUGUUUCAAUGUGCAGAAGGGAAUCAACUUGAAACAUUCUGUGUCAAUGAGGUUUUGAGCCAACAAACUAGUGGGGUUAAAAGUUUCACUCUGGAGGCACUUGCAAUGAGUAGUCCACCGUUGUUUUUAGAGAAGCUGUAUGGUCAUGAAGAGGAGGAUUCAGAGAUGAACUGUAAUGCUAAUACUGUUGUAGAUGAGCCUUUUAGCAAACAUAGUGUAGUAACUCUUGAUGGGAUUGAUGGCAAAGGCAUUGAAGAACACAUUUGUGUGACUAGUAGCAAUCUUGUCACAAAGAAAGAAAGUGCAGAGGUUUUGCCUGAAAUUGAGGUUGGUAAUGUUCAUGAUGAUCACCAUGUGGUGGUUGAACAAAUGAAUUACAAUGUUGAUGCAAGUUCGGCAGAGAGAAAUUGUAAAGAUAACAAGAUGUCUGAUGAAGCCAUUGCAGGGUUUUCUAGUGUUGGGUAUGUCACUCUUGUUCCUGGGGAGAAAAUUUCUGAGUUUGAGCCAGGAACUGAGCUUGGUGACAGCCAGGAGGUGACUGCACAGGCAAAUAUCAUCUUUGAUGCAAGUUUGGAUGAGAUCAUUUGUAAAGAAAGUGAAGCACUGGAGAAGACAACAGCUGGAAUUAAGAAAAGCACUUUGGAAGGCAUUGAGGAAAUCACUAUGCUGGAGGAAGAAAAUGGAGAGAUUUCAGCACCAAUUACUCAAACAAAGCUUGAUAGGGAGGUCUUAGAUCAAGGAGUUGAAUUUAUAAAGAUUAAUGGCAGUGCUCAGGUUACUUUGGUUGAGACUGUACAUGAAAAUGAUGAAGUUCCAGAAGAGAUUUUAGAUGAAGUUACCAGUGAAAAAAUGAUUUUGCUCCCUAUGGAAGCAGAUUUUGACUGUAAUGAAUUGAAUAUUGUGGGGGUAAAGAAUGAAAUCUCACUGCAACGUGAUGAAUUGAAGUCUAUUGAUCUUGAUAUUCAUGAUGCAAAGGAUAAAAGCAUCUUCAUCAAUUCAGACCAAUGUAGCUCUGCAGAUAGAGAAACUAUAGAUGAAAGAGAACAUUCAAGAAUCUUGGAAUGCAAAUUCAAUUUUGAAGGUAAUUGUUCUGACACAAAGCACACAGAUGUUGGUGCUUCACCACUGAUCAGUCUAAAAGAUUUUGAUGAUCAGAUAGAGGACGAGGAAGUUGCACACAUGCAUGAUAGUGAUCAUUGUCUUUCAUUGGAUCUUUUGAGCAACAACAGUAGAAUUGCAGCAACGAAAACACAUAAAACCAUUGCAGAAUCGGUUAUGCUGGAGGCAGAAAAUGGAGAGGCUUUUACCCCGUUUGGUUCAGAGGGGCUUGGUCAGGAGGUUUCAGAUCAUGGAGUUGAAUUUCCAAAUUCUGCAGCUUCAGACGUGAGUCAAGCUGUACAUGAAGCUGAUGAAAAUCUGGAUACAAAAUCAGGUGGGGGUGUAGAGAUGAUUUGGAAAGGGGAUGAAGUGAAGUUUGGUGAGCUUGAUGAUUCUAGAGAAGAGGUUCUCCCAGAGACUGACAAGAGUUCUUUAAUUGUUCCACAUGAACUCACUUCCACAGAUGGUGAAGCUGUGAAUGGAACCAUGAAAGAGAAUAGUCACUUUGAGGAUGUCAAUUUUGAUUCCAUGAAGGAAGAAGAUGUUAGCAAUUCACCUAAAGUAAAUGCUGGGAAUUGUGAUGAUCUCUUGGAAGAGGAGUCUGCAGAUGUGAAACACAAUGGUCGUGAUGUUCAGAUAGAUCUUAACUGCAGAGACAUUGGAGGUGCAGCAGACCUAGUUGUUGAAGAUGGCAUGGUUUGUGAAAUUGGUUCUGAUGAUAGGAAUGGUGACAAUAUGUGGGUUCAGAAAGCACAGACUUCGCCAUGUAAAGUUGAUGAUGGUAAUAUAUCUUCUUCCGAGCCUGAAGGGGAUUCAAUUAGUGCCAGUGUCUCACUGCUGAAUGUUUCAUCAUGUCAAGGUGAGCAUCUUCACCCUUUCUUUUUGAUAUGCUUAUAUAUAUAGUCAAAAUGAUAAUCUUCAUCAACUAUCUCUGAAAGCCUCAAAAUCUUUAUCUGCAAAUUACCAGACAUUCAAUAUGUAGAAGCUCUGUAAGUUUAAUAAAUCAUUCUACCAGUUAGGCGGUGGGGAAUUAAUCUAUUUGAGACCAAAUGCAGCAGGUGAAUAUGAAUCUCAUGUAAAAUGUGCAGGAAGCAGUAGCAAAACAGAAAUCAAAGAAUUGAUUGAAGUUGUUCCAAAUGAUGAGAUUAAUGAUACCAAUGAGGCUGCAGUUUGCUCUCCUGCACCGGUUGAUUUUUAUGAGGAUAAAGGUAUUUAGAAACUUAGCUUGUAAACUACAUAACACAGUUACAAGAAUGUAUUUCUAUCUAACAUCUAUUGGCCCAUUCACAAACAAAUAUGAUAUAACACCUAGUUACUUUCAUAAUUUCUUAGGUGAUACUCUUAACUUUGUGGGUAAAUCCUCAGAAGUUAUUAAUAUUACAAAGGAGAGAGGCAUAGCAGAAGAGAGCAGUGCUGGGAAGGCUGAGGAAGUACGUGGUUCAUCACAUAAGUUUGAUGAUGAGAUGGUCUCUUCUGGUGAUUCUAAGGAGCCUCCAAAAUUUGAAAAGUUUGUCGAGGUUUCUUUAUUGGAAGCUGAAAAGGUGGACUGUUGCUCUGUUGUUUCACCAGUCAAUGAUUCUGUUGAUCAUGGUAAGUGCUUAAUCCACUAGUCUUAAAAAGUUUCAGCUGUUUCAAAUUCUUAGAUAAUCAUUUUCUCCUUGACAGAAUGUUAUUCCUAGUUUUUCAUUACUAAUGAUUUUACAGCAGAAGUUGCUUCAAGGAAGCACUUGACAAGAUUAGAAGAUACCACUGAUGAUUCCUCUCUGACCCAUCAGAUUGGUGUGAAUUCCAGUCUUGCCUCAUCGGAGACAGCAUCCUAUGAGUUCACUGACUGGGAAAUAGAUUUAUUUUCUCAUAAUCAUUUCAGUAUGGAAGCAGUUUGUGGAACGAGUUUAAGGAUUAUAGAUCAAUUCCCUGCAGUCACUGAUUCAGCUCUGUAUAAAGGUAUAGAUCAUAUUUAAUUGGUCUGUUCUCAGAAAAGGUUAUCUAUAUAUAUUUAUGGGGAAUAAUUCUUUAGACUUUCUCUAAUUAUUUCUCAGCCUUUGCAGCCGAAGAUGUCCGCACUGAGAAUCUGAAGUUGGAAACAGUUCAGAAGAAAAGUUUAGAUGUAGAAGUGGAAGAAAUCAACCAUUUAUCAUCUCAGCAAUUCAAUUCUUCUAUGAAAAUGAAAAAUAACUUGAAAAGCAGCAUGACCCAGAGAACUCCCAACAAGUUCUUUAAGGCAUUCGAUAUGAAAGAGAACACCCCAAGCAUCAAGAUGGAGCAGAUGGGUAAUUUCUCAGCAAUGAAAUCAGGGACAAGGAGGAAAGCCUUGGAGGACCUUCAAAAAACUAGAGAGCGGAACAGCACUGCUCGCUGACCUUUUUUCAAGGAUUGGAUGUUGUAAAUAUGGGGCCCCAAAAGAGUGGCCCCUCAGUUGACGACCCUGAGCAUACCUCAUGCAAACAUUUGUGGAUGAAAACCCCACUAGUGGGUUAUUGUUAAAUGAGUACUUUGUUGUGUCUCCUUUAUUGUAUUUGUAGCAAAUGAAACUCCAGAAUCAGUGUCACUUCUGCUUGAUUUGCAGUUUGACAGACAUUAUCAGAGAAAAUCUACCUUCUUUAUCCAUGAGAAGCACUACAUUGGAAGAGCUGGUUUAUUGCUUGAUAGAGCAUUGAGAUAAGAGUUUAAGUUUACAUGUGCUAUUAAUUUCAUCAGAUUGAUCAUAAUAGUCUGAGCAUAAGACUGGGAAGAAUGAGAUCUUCAGUAUGUAAUUGUAAGCUGAAGAGUCCCUCGAGAAAAAUUCAAGGACAUUUAUCACAUUAGGCUCUCAUUCUGCAGGAGAAUAUCCUUGAAAUUUUCUUCUCUAACCAUGGAAAUGAUGCAAAUGGCUAUAGAAGAUCAUUUCCCCCUGCUUUCUCACAACAGAAAAUUUUCCUUCAUCAUACUAUAUAAGAACAAAUUUGAACAAAGUGAAGUAUUCCAACGAGGCAAUACACAACGGACCAACAAUUUUUUAGCACUAAUUCAUCAAAACCCAAGUACCAAAAGAGGAGAAAAAUCAUUUGAAGGAGCCCAUAUAUAUGAAGAAGUCCCUUAUUGAGAAGGGGAUAUAUUUAUGAUUAAAUCUAACGUAUAUUCCUUUUGGGAUUACAGAAUGAUCCAACCCCAUCCAACCACAAAACCAACGUGUAUAAAAAAAGAAAAAAAGAAUGAAUGGAAAUUCUGCAAAACAAAUAACCAAGUCAUAUCUCAGUCCUUUUUAUCUACACAACCCCCCGGCCCCCCCCACCUCCAUUUCCUUCACAUCUCAACUCAUCUGAUGAUUCUCAUUCACAACCAUGCGAGUGUUGAGAGAUAGCUUCGUCUUCGAUCAAAAACACAUCCCUCUUCUGCAAUUCCCAGACAGCCUUUCUAUAUAUAGUUCAAACCAUCUAAAAUUUAAAUUUCAUGUAAUCCUAGUCACAAUCCAAUCCACAGACUUCUAAUACAAUACCACCUUUUGAUACAAAUGGGUUGACUCUGACCCAUAGAAGUGAGAAGAUUGAGGCUAGAAGAAUUGACCACACAACAAUAAUGGUGGGAAGCCUAUCUUGUUUCCCCAUUAACCCCUUGAGGAAGGGGUACAGGUGAACAAUGACCCAUAAGGCAAAGAACAGCUUACCAAAUAGAGGGCCCCAUUCUUCAUAACCGUUAUUGAUGGCAUCUGAAAUCCCAACCAUGACCCCAAUUAUAUUCAGGAUCAGUAACGUCAGGGGAGGGAUCAACAAAGAUGUCCACUUAAAAAGGUAGAGCUCCGAAAACUCUCCAUCAUCUCCUCCUUUGGAUGUAACAGUGAAGUUUGUGUUAACACCUGCCAAAACCUUAAGCAGACCUUGGAAGAGAGCAAACAGAUGUGAUGAAGCACCACCAAUCACCCAGAACUGCUCAUUUCUCCACCAGUCAUCUAUGGCAACCCGUCCCCACUGCAUCUCAAGGACACCAGUUGCAGCUAUAGAUAUGAAGAGGGCCAUGAAAAUAAUACUGGCAUAGUUGCUAAUCUGCACAUCAUGCAAAAAAUUAGGAUUAGCUGAAACCAUCACAACCCACAACUAAUGAAAACUAUGCUAAGCACAGGAUCCUUGUUUUGGCCUAUGGAGAUGAAUGAAUAUUCAGGUUUAUGAAAAGCUAUAGAAUCCAGCUACCAUCUUAAAUGAAAACACCAUGAUGUUGACUUCAACAAAUAUCUAGUAGAUAGGAAACAAAGUUUGAUUUCAUGGAUAUCAACUGAAGACUAGUAUGAUCAAGUGAAACUUCUGAAAUUUCAAGGAGGAAAGGAAAUUUCAAGGCUAAUGAAAACUAGAAAAGCAACCUGGAGAUUGAACUUGACACGAGAUGUCAAAAGUUCCAUUCUCCAAUGGAAAACCUUGCCUGAAUAUUAGUAGAAAUGUUUUGAUGCUUGUGGUUACAAGUAUUCUAUCAUGAACCUACAACUAUAUAAUCUUGUGGUUCUUCCAAGGAAAAGAAAAGAAGAUCUCAAAAUGGACAUUACAGAGAUUGAUAUUUAAGAAUGAAAUAGAGCUAGAGGUUACCUCGGGGACAAUGAACUUCCCAGUGAGGAGACAGAAAGCCGGCAAGGUACAGUAGGCAAUCAAGGGAAUGGACGUCCACGGAUAAACAACUGAGUUGAUAUAAGAGAAGCGCUCCAACCAUUUCAAACCACCUCCAUAGCCAUACCAUAUAGGGCAAUACCUACUGAAGAAAAUCUCAACAGAUCCAAGUGCCCAACGUAGAACCUGGUGUAAACGAUCUGACAGGUUAAUGGGAGCUGACCCCUUAAAUGCCGGCCUCUUGGGUAUGCAGUACACUGAUCGCCAACCAUGGCAUUGCAUCUUGAAUCCUGUUAAUAUAUCCUCUGUAACAGAGCCAUAUAUCCACCCAACCUGAUUCAUAAUUCAAAAUCUGGAAUUUAGAUACAGAUGAAAAAAAGUUUACACCUUGUUUGGAAGGGACUGGAAAAGCUAGAAGCUUUUAAAUUUUAGACAGAUGCUUCUUACCUCUUUCCCCCAUUCUGUUUUAUCUUCAUAACCACAGCUAAUGACAUGGAUGGCUUCUUUCAAAAGUGAAGCAGUGGUUGCUCCUUUUGGAACACCACCUUCUUCUAAAAGCGUGGAAGCUAUAAAAACCGGAGACUGUCCAAAUUUUUUCUCAAAUUUCACUUGGGGCAUGAGCAAUGAUCUGUCAUUAUCUAUUCCUGCAAUAUAAAUUCCACAGUAAUAUUACUACUUUGGCUUUAAAAGCAGUAGACCUGAAGCAAGAAAACCAGUGUCCCCCCAAUAAUUACUACCUUGAAUACACAUAUUGAGUUAACUAAAAAAACAAUAAUAGAAAAUUCAAAAAAUCAACUUCACAUGGGAAAAGUUAUACACAACAUUGUUGCCAAUUAAUUAAGAUAAAUUAGGAAUUUUGAAGGUCAUUUAAGAAUUACUUGAAAUAUCUAGAAUACAACAAAAAAAAUGCAGAUAAUAAGACAAUAUGAUUGCGGUUAAUGAUUAAAAAUUGGGAAUUUUUCAUAUUAUUAAGAAUUACUUGAAAUAUCUAGACUACUUGCAAAAGUAAAUAACAAUUGCAUAUAUUAGAAUAAGACCCAUAUUUCCUUCAAAGCCACCCUUACCUUCAAUUCCCUCUUCAAUAUUUUCGAGUGCAUGUAUUUGCUUUGAAGCUUCCCUGUUUUUCAUCUUCUUCUUUUUGUCAGUUGACUUCACUUUCUUGUUUUUCUUCCUUGAUCCACAACACAAGCAGCACCAUUUUGGCCAACAAUUACACGUCUUUCCUGGGGGUUUCUUAUUGACAGGGGCAUCAUAUCCAUAGAGUGCCUGCCGUCUGAAGACACAGCCAGUUCCAACAUAAAUUGGUCCCUGGAUCCCAUCCAAACCUUUCAUAUUGAUCUGUUUUUAAUUGAAAACAAAAAAUUAGCUUUCCUCAAUCAAAAUUUUACAAAUUCACAUCUGUGCAUCAUUGUAUCAAAUUCACACUGGAGUGCCUUACGUACAUCAAAGAAUACAACGUUGCGAUUUGAGUAUCUAUCAUUGCGAUCAAUCCCAUCAAACCUUUGAGGAAACUGUACAUAACAGAUUUUCUUUCCUGAUGUGGGGUCCAUCAUGAAGCACAUGGCUUCACGAAGGGCCUUACUGUUGUUUAUAUAGUGAUCACAGUCCACGUUCAGUAGGUAAGGAGCAUUAGAGAUGAUUGCUGAGACUCGCAUCUUGAAUAAACAGUCAAAACAAUAGCCCCCAAUCAGGAAAUGGGAAAACAAAAAAUGGGAUCCCAAAGAAAAAGAAUGAGAGAGAGAGAGAGAGCUCUACCAAAGCAUUCAUUGCCCCAGCUUUUUUGUGGUGAUCAAAUCCCGGUCUCUUCUCACGAGACACAUAAACUAGACGAGGCAACUCAUUUCCUUCAACAUCACGAACACCAUUAUGACCAAGAAAAACCUGUGCAAGGCAAAAAUAGAGAAAAAAAUCUUUUAAUGUCUCAAAUCUCAGUAUGUAGAAGGUCCAGCAAGAUGCAUGCUGCUCAGGCACAAAAAUCCAUGAAUGCACUCGAAGAAAGAAAUCACCCCCUCACCUGGAUCAUUCCAGGAUGGUCCCUGACAUUGUUCCCAGGCCAUGGAGUCCCAUCCUGCAUUGUCCAACCUUCCUCGGGGACCUUCUGGGCCAUAGAAACCAAUGCAUUUAUCCGAAUUUUGAACUCUUCAUACUCCCUCUGCACCAAUCAGGAACCAAAUAUUAUUGUUUUGAAAUCAACUUAUUGCUCUCAGCAAUGGUUAUCAUGGCAAUACUUUGUCAAAGAUAAAAAAUCAUCACAACAGGACAUCUUUUAUCACUAAAUUCUAAAACUUGUCCUCCACAAGCCAUUUUAAUGAUGCAUAUUUAAUGCCACUCUAUAUGGUUUAAGAUGGCAUUUUGUUUAACCCGCAUGCAGCUUAUAUAGAAUGCACAUUCAUUGGACCAAAAUAUGAACAGAUAAAGAUACAAGGUGUUAACCUUCAUUGCACGACGUUCCCUAACAAACUCCGGAUGCACUUUGUCUUUCAGAUAGUCAACCUUCUGAGCAAAGUACCAUUCUGGGGCCCUCGGCUCAAUGCUGAACUUCUUACAGAAUGGGACCCACCUCCUAGCAAACUCAGAUGUCUCAGAAAGGGCUUCAAAAGUAAGCAUGGCAGCACCAUCAUCUGAGACAUAGCAUGCAACUUUCUCGACUGGAUAAUCUACUGCAAGGAUUGACAGAACUGUGUUUGCUGUGAUAAGUGGAGGUUCUUUCAUGGGAUCAACUGUACUUACGAAUAUGUCUAUAUCAGCUAAUUCAGAUGGCUUCCCUUCUUUUUCAUACCUGAGAACAAGGUUUAAGACGCAUAGCUAAGAAAACAGUACCAUGCAUACAACCAAACAAGAGAGAGAGAGGGAGAGAGAGCACCCCAAAUACCUCAGUGAUAGCCUAUCAAGGUAUGUUUCCCGCUCGAUUGGGUACCACUUUGGGAACUGAUCCAGUAUCCAUGAUACAGCAAACCAUAUUUCACAAAUAACUGAUGUUAACCAUAAUGCAUAUGCAUCAUUAACCGGGUGGAGGAUUCUAUAAUGAAAGAAGAAGCCAAGAAUCACAAGCCGGAGUAUAAUUAUGAUUCUGUAUGGAUUUAUCUUGCUUGAAGGAAUUGGUAUUUUUCUAGAUAGAGGUUGCCUGCCUUCAUCCAUCCUACAUAAAAAAACAAAAAUAAAUAAUAAGUCCUUCACAUUCAAAUAAGAGAAAUGGGGAAAACACAAAUAAUGGAAAGAGGAAUGUGAUGUUCAGUUCCUAAUUAAAUUGAGAUAAUGCUUUCUAUACCACCUCUACUCAGACUAACACAAGGAAAUUUUAUUUCAUAAGAUAUUGUUACUGUUCCCAAUAGGUGAAGACUUCUAACUGUCAGCAAUGAGCAUGUCAGACAUUCAUCAACUUGACAAACAGUUCUGAUACCUGUUUACACACUGACAAAUGCGUCCACAUUCAUUUUUUGAAGAAACAUGGAGACAAACAUGUUUGUAGUGCAUUUUUGUUGCAAACACAUGAAAGCAUUUGCAAAACUAUAGAUGUAGCUAUCUCCCAAUAGCUAUGCUUCAGGAGUUUCAUACAAAAAUGUGCAUGUAGCUGUUUCCAAUGUGCAUUUAGCUUUUCUGAUUCUAAUGAUAAUUGUUUUCUAAAUGGAUUGUUAAUUGACUCACACCUACAUCCCUUCCAAGUUCAAGUUAACCACUUUCAUGCCUCUAACAUGUAUGAACAACAAUUAAUAUAUUCAGCUCACUAGCAAGUAGCAACCCCAAGUUCAAUCACAUGUUAGUUAACAAAUGUUUAACAUCAUAAAUUUCAUCACCCAAUAAUUUUGUUAUACAUUGAUCCAUAAGCGACCUAUUUCUCAUUCAAAUUCUGCCAAAAUUUUAACUUAUGGGCCAUGCCCAUAAAGGUGGUGCUCCACUGCUCACGUCCCUUCAACUUUCAAUGAACAGCAUCUAAGCAGUUUUAUUUUUUUUUCCUUUUUAAGCUUUUACCAUGUAAUACUAAAGUGGGCUUUCACGUCCAUGACAUGUUAGAUCUUCAUAGUAGUAGCGUUGAAUUUCUCAUUAACACAUGUUUACUUUGUUCACAUGCAUUGCAUGUGCCAUGGUCCCCUAAUGAACGAAUACGACCAAUUUACGGUUUUGAUAAAUGACAAAAAAUAUCUAGCAAAUGACCUCAUUUCAAUCUUGUCAAGGUUAAAAAGUUGAUGCUUCAUAUUGCUCCAAUAACUUGCACUCUUGUAUUACAUUUAAUCUUAACACAAAGCCACCGACAAUGCUCUAUUUGAGGCAAUUUCUUUCACCCAAGAAAAGAACAAAAAUAGAAAUGAUAAACUCGCAGGUGAAUAACAAUGCUGUUAGCCUGAGAGCUUAAGUUACCAAAAAACAGUUUGAUGCAUGAAAAGAAUUCAAGAAAUAGUACUUUAAAAUCCCAAAUUAUACUAAGCUACGAAGAAAAAAGUUACAGGAGAAGAUGCAACAAAUAGAAUAUGGUGAAGCAGUGAUUGAAAAAAUGCACCUACUUGGGCAAAUCAGGAUCAUCCAGUUCAUCUUCAUCAAAGUUUCCACCAUCAUUUCCUCCUUGGUGCUUAACAACCUGAAGUUUAUCAUUCUGCUUUUUCUUCCACUCUUCCAUUCGGUCCUUCCACGCAACACUUCCAUACCCAUAUACUGCCAGGUCUUUCUUAGGAUCCAUUGGUCUGGGUGGCACUGCAACAACAAAACCAGAAGGCACAAUAAAUAUGAUGAAGUAAAUGUGAAUAGACAUAACAGUGAGAAAAGGGUUCAAUUCCACAUAAAAACUAAUGAGGAAUAACAAGACUUACAGGACAUAGAAGAAUCAGGAAAUGGCAUAGGAUGGACUCGUUUUCCACGCCCCAUGAAUGGAGGAAUGAUAAGGGCGUGCUUAUCAGAGGAAAUCCCGACAUCCUUCAUUGAAAACAAGCAAACAACUAUUAUCAUAAAACAGGAAUCAUUAAUUAUAUGAACAUAGAAAUGGAACGAUGAAUAAAAAAUGCGAGUGUUAAAUCAACUUACAUAUUGGCCAUAGGUCAGAAGAGGGAUUCCUGAAGGGACUGAUGAAGAAUCCAGAUCCAAAGGCGUACUAAUCCCUGAAGUAUGGGCAUGGCUGCCGAUGUUCAGGUGAGCAGAGAGCAUAGCCUCUGCAACCUGAUGAGGAUCCCUACUGUAAUUGCUUCUGAAAUCAAACUCAUUCUCCAAAUCAUCAAUGUCAUCUUCCUCUUCAUCCCCUUCAACUCUGGGACUACCUGAUGUUUUAAGUGUGCUAUUAGUGGAAUCAUCACCAAGUAGAGUGGAGUUUGGGAUGAAAAAACACAGAGUAAUAGAAAAGAGACAGAGUCAACCAAGAAAUUAUAGAAACCCUUUACCUUUGAUGCGUUUGUAUCUGGUUUUGCAUUGAGGGCAAGCUUGAUUACCCUCCCUUCUUUCAUACUCGUAGCAGGGUCUGCAUACAGGGAAUGCACAUUCAUUACAGGCAACGAAUGGCUCCCCAUCCACAGUAAUCUCUAUCUCAUCCCCACAAAUCUGACAAAUCUGCCCACUCAAUUCUUUCACGGAAGUCACCUGUAUGUCACAGCAAAGUCAAUCGGCAUUAGGUCAUGAAAACUGGAUUUUUUGCUCAACAACCCCAGAUAGAAUAUUGAAGCAGCAUAUGAUUUUUAAACUACUCAUUCACACAUACAAAAACACACACACACACAUAUGCAGAAAUAAAGUAUAAAAUUUUGGUGCAGACCUGUAUGAAACAUAGAAAAUAAGGGGAAAGGUAUGGAUUUGUGAAAGUACAGAGUUCCAGAACAAGCAUGAGCAAAAGAGCUAAAAGAGUCAUGAAAAUGAAAAGGGAAGUAAAAGCCAUCCCAUUCAAGAAUCACACCUUUAAAAACAGGAACUUGGAUCAGAGGGAAAAAAAUUAAUGGAAGAUAGUGUCACUAACCCAAGAAGGAAAUGGCAGAACCCACAAAAGCUAAAUACAGAAAAUAAUGGAAAAAAAAUGUUAUGAGAACAAAAUAAAAUCACUGUAACAGAAAAUGAGCAAAUGGAUGUCUUCAAAAUCAAGAAAUGGGGCUGACAAAAAGUUUCAUAGACAAGAAGAACGUCGGAAGAAAAAAUAGAGAAAGCACAUUUUUAGAUAUUUUUCUUAAAAUCCAGAAAUGGAGUCGAUCAACGAGUUGAAAUAAAAAAAUAGAAUUAAAAAAAGGAGAGAUUUUGAAGGAACUUACUCGUCCAAUCUCAUCAGCAUUGAUCAGAACAAACUCGUUCCGGUUGUGUGAACCCGCCACGAGUCUUCCUUUGGUAUCCAUGAAAGCCCUCAAGAAUCAGACCCAGAUAGAACCCCAAAUGCUCGAAAUCAAGAAGACCCACCUCACGAUAUCAAUCUCCCAACCCCUCUCAUGCGCAAGAAGCAGACUUUUUUUUUUUUCUCUCCGCCUCUCCCUUUCAGCUCACUUUCUCACAAAAUAACCCAACCCCACAUCACACAAUGAACAAAUUCACACCCUAGAUAGAGAGAGGGAGAUGCAAACAAUAAAAAAGAAGAGUGGGGAAAACAACAAAAUGAGAAAAAAGUAUCACUGUUUUUGUUUGAUUGUUCCUCAAAGAAAACCCAAUGUUUUUAAACGUAACAGAUGGGUGGGUCUCUCAGAACUCAGAAGUGGGUAGAGCCGAUCCGUGACACGGGGUUGCAGAUGAUGUUAGAGAGAGAGAGAGAGAAAGAAAGGAAUCUAUUGGGGCGUUGAAAUUUCAACGCGUAUUGCACAAGAGCGCCCUCCUAAUUCAUGGCUUUAUCAUCAACAUUGGGGUGGGGCUCAGAUUUUGAUGGCAGUGGUGCCUCUGCUGGUGGUGGGUGGUGGUGGCCCACCUGAGCUACGGUGGCACACGGUGGGCGACGACUAGGGCACUCUCGUAAUUCUAUCCCUUUUGCCUCCCCCUUUUUUCUUUUUUUCUUUUUCCUAAUUUAUUUACUCAUUUCCAUUAAAACAAAAUAAAUAAUAAAUAAAAUAAAAAAUAAAAAAUUAGGUGUUUCCUUUUCUUAGAUGUUGAUGUGAUGUAUCUCCCUCACGGCUUUUGUGUGUCCUGUUGUGCAAUAAAAUUAAAAAUAAAACCCCCAAAAAAAAAAAAAAAAAGUAGAGCUAGAGAGAGAAUGAGAGUGGAGUUUUUACUUUUUAGAGAGAGAAGGUGGAGGGUUUAGAGAGAGAGAGAGAGGGACAGGAUUUUACAAUGGGAGGAAAAAAAGGGGCAAGUGACAAACAGCGGGGAGGAGUUUAUGAGUUGUAAAGGCUCCACGUGCGGCACGUGUGGAGGAACCCGAGAUCUGGGCGAUUUAUCGCGAUAAAUUGAAGAGGAAAUAGACAAAGUGACGGUGAUUGAUUCUUUCUUUGCAUUUUUGGAACGCCUUCACUUUUACGUGCAUUAAAAGACAAGGAAAGUCUUGGGUGUGAGUGCUCACUGCUCACGCCCCUUCCCCUUGGACCACCACACCCCCACCCCAUCAUCCUACAAAUUUUAAUCAUCCCAUAAUGUAGCAGUGACGCACCAUCGUUGUUAAUUAUUUUACCUAUCUUACGUAACGUCAAAAGGAUAUUUGAUAAAAAUAAAAAAAAAAUUAAAAAAAAAAAGUCCAAGGGACAUGAAAGAUCAUGGUAAAGGUUUUUCCAUACAAGAAGGCCAAGUAACCGUUGGCAAUACCUUUUGAUUUUCAGCAACGGUGGGCUCUUCAGAGUAAAGCUUUUAUACUGACUUUAUACCUAACACAGCACAUUCCAGCCCUUUACUUGACCUUUUCAAACAGCUUACAUACAAAAUAUGCAAUUUUCUACACUGGGUUGUUCUACAAAGUCCGAAAAGGAUUGAGCAGCUGAUUUGCAUUCGGGUUGUUCUUUAGACCGAGACAGAUAGUAUUUUCCAAGGCAAAAAGGCUUUACUGUGAAGAGACGGUGACAAGUAUUUAAAUAGUAGGCAAGUGGGGUGGUUUUUGGAUGGCCUUUUUUCCAUUAAUAUUUUGUAUUGAAUGGAGGGUCUGUGUGUCUAUUCAUAAGUCGGUGAAUAAACCGUACCAUGGUGUGGUGAGUGGUCUCAUGCCUCAGUGACAUCAAUGCACUCUCUCAUGCCCCCUGCAGAGGUUAAUAACUGUACUGAAUCCGUCCAUAUCCACCAUCUGAUCUAUAUACUAUGGGUUUCCACUGAUUGGAUGGGAAUGGGGGGUGGGGGGUGGUCUAUUGUUGUUUUCAGUGGUCCUGACUCCACCUGAUGGUGUGGAGUGGGUACAUUGAUGGUAACAAACUAGGGAAGGGCAUUAUCAGUUUGAUUGAAACCAAUCACAUUUGUAGUCUGUGGUCUACCUGCCUUUUGGGGUAUGGACUCUCAUUGAAUCUGAUGAAGUAGUUGGAGACUUUAUGUCUAUUAUCUUAAUGGCACUAAUUAAUUGGCAUCUGGGGUUGGUAAAAUUGUAACUUUUUGGGGCAUGGCUGUAUGAUAGAAACCAUAGAAUCAUUGUGUGAUGGGGUGGUAACAUUUAUUUUAAUGUUUUUUGACAUGCAUUAAAGUAAAUUAGCAAAAAACAAUUCAUGGGUUUUUGAAUUCUCACCCGAUGAGAUAUUGGGCAUAUUCCCAUUUUUGUCCCAAUUAGAAUCCUCACAUUGGAUUACAGUUGUUUACAAAAAUCAGACUUAUUUUUGUUCUCAGAGGUAGAUUUUUCAACCACAUAUUUCUUCAAAUUGGGAAAAUCUAAAACAGAAUUAUAGCUCAUUUUUUUCCAAAAAUAAAAAAAUAAAAUAUCAUUAUUAUACAAAAACCAGUUUAGGAAUAAUCUAAGUUUUCAAAAAAACAAAUUAUUUUUGUAAACCUUUCCAAAUUAAUAACUAUUUUUUAAAAUAAUUAUAAAAAAUAGUUUUUGGAAACAAUUUUUUAAAACUGUUAUUAAAAUAUGUUUGAAAACUUAAAAUGUUUUUAACUUAUUUUUAAUCAUUUUAAAUAUUUAUAUAUUUAUUUUUUAAAAUACCUCUAAAAAAAAGGUAAAAAUAACUAAAGUGUAUUAUUUAAAAAUAUUGUAUUUUUUAUUUUUAAGAAUAAAAAAUAAAACAUAAUUUUUAAUUAUUAAACAAAUUUUUCAUAUUGUUAUUUUAAAGAAUAGAAAACUGUUUUAAAUAUCGAGGUUGUUGUGAUUGCAUGACUGCUUGGUUAAAUUGUGGCUGCUAAAUUUGCAAAUGAUCAUGAUUAAUAUCUUAAUCGUGUGUAGGAAGCUGUCGCCUGUACAAGAGGUGAGAGUGAGACAGUGAUGAAAAUACGAGUUUUAGUUUUGAUGAAUGACAAAUCCCUCCCAUUUUCAUCACUGCCCUUCACCUUUUUCUAUGCAAACACUUGGUCCAAUAGAAAAGGUGAAAUCAAUAAUAAAAGGGUUGAAAAAGCAAAAGCAGAAGGAGAUCAAUAAUUGCCAGCAAGGUGGAUUGGGCAUCAGAUCUCUUAUAUGCAACUCAACCUCUACUUCUCCAAUUGCCCCCCUCCUUUUCAAGGGCAUGGUCCUAUCACCUAUGUGGGUCACUCUCCCUUUACUUCCAUCAUGCCCAAAAUCCUUUCCCUCUAGGCUCUAUGAUGCCCAAUAACUUAAGUAGAAGUUCACCUUUAUUAUUUUUGGGCAUUAUUGGUACUAACUAUAUGUUGUAGUUACAAGCCAUUCUAUUUAUGGUAACAUUCUUUUUUAUCACCCUUCCAUCUUAAUCCAACUCAAAUUAACCUAUCAAUUAUUUUGUGGUUUCAUUUUAUCUUAUUUUUGAGAAAUCUAAAACUUAUUCUUACGUUUUAUGCAGAUUUUUAUAUCCGUUUAACUAAUCUUAUUUAAAUUAAUUUACGAUUUAAGUCAAAAUCCGAAACUAUCCCAAAUGAGACGUGAGUAUUAUUUUAUUAUUCUAUAUUACGGGAUAAUUAAUUUUGCGGGUUUUAAUAAAAUUUUAAAUUGUUUACAAAUGAAAUUUAGUUGAACGAAAGGCAUGUGAAGAGCAUCCUUGGAUGUUAAUAGUAUACAAAGAAGGAGUUGAUUGACUGCUAAUACCAAUGAUCUUAACUUGCCUUUUGCAUUGGGCGGUCGGCUGCCAUCAUUAACUAAUGAUCUAUGAUUGAGUAUAUUCCAAUACUGUACACGUGUCCUCCAUCCGCUGCACUUCUACAAAAGUGGACGGUUCUCAAGUACCCAGGAGCAAUUUUUUAAUUAGCACUCGCUUUACCAAAUCUGCCGCAUCUUUUCCCAAACACCAGGGUUUGGCUUCGUAAACAAGACUCAGCAACCAAAUUAAAAAUAAGUGAGUGAAACCCUGAAGUACGACGACACGUGGGAUCACAGCUGGAGUAGCAAUCAUGCCUUCCACUGGGUAGUGUGAUAUGCCACGUUGGCAAAAAGUGGGUGUCCCAGAAAACGUGUAAUGAUGGUGGAUUAUAUUGGAAAAGCAACUUUUCCACGUGGCAUGGCACGCCACGUCGAUAGCGUAGAGGGCUUUAUUACAACUGGAAGACAUCUGGCACGCGUUUUUGUUGUAAAUUGUCUGGCAGAAGUGGGCCACGUGGUGCCAGAGUAGGUCCACAGACAGCUCAGCGACUGGGAUUGUCGGUCGCUUUCGCUAGCUGUAAAUCAUCAUAAGCGGAGAAGCGUCCGUAUGCGGAUGACGUCAUUAUUAGAAACGAUUUUAUAGAAAUGAAAGUAAUUUUUGUUGGGUGGUGGGUGAGAUUUUUGAAUGAAAGUUCGAGAAAGUAGGGAGGGAGAGAGAAAGGAAAAAAAAAGUUUAAAAAAAGGCGGGACAGCGUGGCGGGCAUUUUGUGGAGGAGGUGGUGUUUGGGGAGUAAUAGAAUAUGGGGCUGUUUGGCUAAUAGGAUAGGAGUUCGGCUACGUGUAUGGAUCUGAUUGGCUAAUCCUGACAGAGAAAAUUUUGCCUAGUGAGAGAUGAUCUCGGGAAAGCAAAUAUAUUUGUUCGAGAAAUAUUAAAUUUUUAAUUCAUUUGCAAUAAAUUCAAUAGCAUAUGAUAUGAAAUAUUUACAUUCCAUAAACAAAUUUUCCCUUAUUUUGAUUUAGAUUUUUUUUUUAAGGUAUGGUAUCGGUAUAUUAAUACUAGAUUUUCUCAUAUAGAAAUAGAAUAAUAUGAAUAACUAUGAUAUCCCUCAUAGUUUCAACGGGAAAGUUCUCAAAAUUGUUUUUUAAAACUGUGAUAAUUUUGGAUUAAAAGUAAAUAAUAUCUAUACGAUUGGAUGUGAGUUACGAUAUUAUAUUUUUAUUUUUUGAUACGUGGAUUAUACACACGUUUUAAAAUAGCAAAGCCAUAUAGUCGGUGUAUUAUUUAAUAUUUGGAUAUUUUAUAAUUGUUAAUAAUUUUAUAGUUUUCACAUACGUGUUCCCAAUUUUAAAUAUUAAAACUCGUUUUAGGAAAAAAAAAUUUAAUUUCUAUAUCACAAAUAAUAAAAAUUAAUUUAAUUUACCAUGUUUGAGUUUUUACAUAAGCCCGUCUAAUUCCAUUAAUUCAUUUGUUUGAAAUUUUAUUAAAUACAUUUUAUGUCAUUAUUUUCUUUAGUUAGUUUUAUCGCUCAAGAUACAUGAGUUAUUUUAUAAAAUUUUAACGGAUGAGGAUUAAAUGUAUUUAACAAAAUCUUGAAAAUAAAUGAAUGAAAUUAAUCAUAAAUAAUAAUGCCUCCCUUUUCCAUACAUUUUUUUAGAAAAUCACUUAAUUAAAAAAAUACAUCUAUAUUAAUUAUCAAAUAAUCUUUAAUGUAAAAGUGAAUUUAGGUGAGAUUACUCAAUAUAAAUGUUUAUAGUAUGAUAUACAUAUUUGAACUCAAAUCCUAUAAAUUUUAAGUUUUUCGAAAAAUUGAUAAUUCAAUAUGAUAUCAGAGUUUUGUAUGAUAUGAGAUUGUAAACUCAAGCCCCUUCUCCACAAUUUGUAUGUUCGCUUCCCAGUCUAUUCCUCCUCUCCCCCCUACCUAAUUUGCAAUUCCGUGGUAUAACUCAACUCAGAGAUAAUGGAGAAAAUCUAUCACUACUGUGGCUAUUCAUAUUCAUCAGUCCAAUAUAACUCCAAAAGAGGUCAUUUUCAAUGUCUAUAUAAUACCAUGUUGCAUGUAGAUAUGAAGAUGAAUUGGUAACUGCUAGAAUCCAAUGUGUUGCAAAUUGCACUUCAAUUAUUGUUUCUGGAUUUGCUAAUUGCAAAGCUGUCUUCAUUUAUUUGAUGCUUAUCAUUAUUUUUUAACCUAUUGGUAAAAUAUAGGUGGCAAAUUUGUUAGGACGGUGGAAUUUGUACAUUAUGAUUUGAUUAUUAAUGUAAAAUAAGAUUUUUGGGUUGUCUUCUACUAUGGUCAAAAAUCUUGAUUAGUUAUUUUGCAUAUCAAUUUUUUCAACUUAAGUCGUAAAUGAAAUUAUGAAUAUGAAAACCAUUUUUUUUUUUACAGCAAAAGAACUUUGACCUUCAUUUUAACGAAGAAAAAAAAAACUAAGAGAAAUGUUUUUCUAUUGUCUUAUGGAGAGAGAUAAAAAAAAUAAGAAAAAACAUGGUUUUUUUUUUUUUUUUGGUCUUUAGAGAGAUUUUUUCACAGAAAAAGAAAAAGAAAAACUUUUCUUUUAAUAGUAUCAUGCUCUUUGAAAGUUUUAAACUUCAAAACACAGCUCCCUCGUUUUUUCAUUUUCUUAUUUAUUGGGUUAAAUCAGGUCAACCCAUUUGGGUGCCUAAUCCUAACUCCAACCGUUAUCAUAAAUAAGUGUUUCAAUUAUUCAUUUAUCAUUAAUUUACUUUUCUAACGAAUGAUAAAACUUCUUUAAACUUUCAAUAACCUGACUAAAAUGGCAUCGGACAACUUACAUUUAAUCUAUAUCAUGGAACGGUUUCGUACAAAAAUUACUUGGCAUUAAUGCUUAAUCACAUUGGAGGGCUAACCUAUUUUGUUUGAUACAUUGGACACACUUCAAUUAUUUAUACAGGCAAAUAAAACAAAAUUGUUCAUAAUUUUAUUCCUACUUGCAAAAAUGAGACAACCAAGUAGCCCUUAAAAUACUAACAAGCAUAAUUUGUAGAUUCUUAAGAAUGUAGGAGGCAUACUGAAUAUUGAAUACAUCUUUCAUAUUUUCAAUCAAUUGACUACCUUGUCUUAUAUCCAUAUCUCACAUUCAUAGGGUGGAUUAGAUUUAGUCCACUGAAAAUGAUGAUCACAAAAGUUUAUUAAAACAAAUGUGAGAUUGUGAUGUGAUUGAUACAAUUAUUUUUAUUAAAAAAAAGGGUCAAUUGUAUGAUUCAAAACAUCCAUACAUAUAUUUAAUUAAUUAAUUAUUAUUAUUUAUAAUUCAUGACCUCGAUUUUCCACUAAAGGAGUGGGUGGAAUUCUUGACAACCACUAAAAUAUGUGGGCAAGUUGUACUUUUUAUAUUUAUUUAUUAUUGUUAUUCAUUUUGUCAAUCCUUGAAUUGAUUAAGUCUAUGUUAUGGGAAAGUGCCAAUUUCUCUCUCCACGUGCAUAGCAUAUGACUAAUUUAUUAAAUUAGUGAAGCUUGAGAUCAACCUGCAGCUGCAUAAGGUAGGGAGAUUACAACUUUUGGUUCGAGGAAAUCAAGGAAACCUUUGAAGGAUUGAUAGAAAAGGGUUUGGUAUUAAUCAUUUGUGUAGCUUCUAUGCUUGAUGCUACUACUCCUAUUCAACCAUUAAUAUAUGGUUUUAAUUUUUUGUACUUAAAAUAGUAUUAAUUUGAGAAUGAAAGCUACUUUAUUGGUAUAAUUUGUAAGGAUUUGCGAUUAAUUUAAACAUAGCCGCUCGUAACCCACCAUAGAACCCUUUUUUAUUUUUUUUUCAAAUUCUUUAUUUGUGAAACUAUUUCAUUGAAAACAAGUUUUAUAAAAUUCAAUAUGGUUUUUGGGAUUUCUCAUCUGAUCGCUCCCGUUAAGCCAAGUUUGAGUAGGUGAUUAUGUUAUUAGAAUUCUUAGGUUUAGGACCGACAAGAGAUCCUCGUGAGUCAAGCUAAAAGCGGUAAGAUGUUAUUUAAAUUGACUUUUGAGAAUUAAAAAUUAUUUUUUAAAUUUAAUAAGAAUUUUUAUGUUUAUUUUGUUAUUUUUAUUUAAAACACUUAGUAGAAACUUAAUUUUAGGUUAUAAAAAAAGCCCUUCUAUAUUUGAUAAAAUCUUUAUAAUACCAAUACCAAAAUUUCAAAAUUAUCUUUUACCUUGUGAUGAAAGCCCAAAAAAAAAAAAGGAGUAAUGCCAUGUGAGGCAUAAGAGGCCUUAGCCCACACCCCACCAUUUACAAAGACAACAAAACCUUGGACCUGGGCCUCGGAGCACAGGCCCAAUGGGAGAAGAAUGGGUGGUCCUCUAUGAAUUUGUACGUUACAAUACUUCAUAUAUGGACUUGAAUGAUGUUCUUAAUUGCUGGAUUUUUUUAAAGAUAAAUGGGAUGGGAUAGUCUCAACAUCAUCAACUUCAAAUCAAUAUUUGUUGAUUCAUUUUCCUUUUUCAGCCUCUUGAAUCCCCAUGCACGUAACGGAUGUUGCUCUCACGAUUUCUCACUAUAUAUACAAACCACAGCAUACAUGCUUCCGCACUCGAUCGACAUGGCUCUGAUGCUGAAGCUCUUUCUUUUCACUCUUCUCUCUGCAUGGAGCCUGGGAUCCAUGGCUUCCGCACGGUACCUGGACAAGAGCUUCAGCCUUGCUGCUCGAUUACAUGCGGACGACGACUCAUCAUCCAAGUGCUGGGAGUCUUUGCUUGAGCUUCAGGCAUGCACUGGAGAGGUUGUCCUGUUCUUCCUCAAUGGUGAGACUCACCUUGGGGCCGGCUGUUGCCAAGCCAUUCAGACCAUUGAGCACCAAUGCUGGCCUGCCAUGCUUACUUCCAUUGGUUUCACUGCCGAGGAGGGCGACAUCCUCCAAGGUUACUGUGAUGCAACCACAUCCUCUUCGGCUCCCCCACCACCACCACCACCACCAUCCAUGGAGCCUAAUGACGUGGUUACCUUGGGUGGCUUUUUCCUCGAUCCUUAGUAGAACGCGUUCUUACUAGCAGUUAUGUCUUUUACAUAUAUCUGAUCCGCUAGUCUAAAUAUAUACAGAAAAGGGUGUUUGGAAUUAAUGAAUGAUUUCCUAUAUAUUGCCCCAUAUUUGUUGCAAUUAAAUUCCAUUUCUUGCUUGAAAAAAAGGUAUAAUAAUUUCCCAUCAUUGAUAGCACUAGUAGUUGUCUUUUAUGGGCUGGACGAGACACACAGAUCGACCCACAAUUCUGCUUACCCAGCCCAUGCUCAGUGGUUUGGACUAACAUAAUUGGAGGCCCAAAAGGGAUAUCAAUAAUAAGAUAAUGUUUGGAAGAUGAGUCUAUUUUUGUAUCUAGAUAAGACCAACUCAUCCCCCUCUAAUUAAUGGAGAGGUAACGGCGUGAAGGGCAAGAUUCUCAAGGACUCAAAAGCCUUUUUGCUUUGAUUUUCCAUCAAGGCAUCAGUGCCAUACACAUAAGUCCAUAAGGUAAUGAAUAAGGAGCGUCAAAUCAGGGUGGGAUGCGAAUAUGCGGAUUGAAAGCCAAGUAUUGAUUUUAGUGGUAUGAGGUGGGUCGUGUAUGGAUGGUGACAUCUAACUAUAAGUCUCUCAAAAGACUUCAAACUUCCCCCCAUCUCCGCCUUCUUUCAUGCUCUUUCCACUCUUCUUUUAACGUAGUAAUUUUUUUUCCCUUUGGGUAAUUAGGAUCUAAGCAUGGAAGAAGAGAAUAUUCGGAUGAGUGUUUCAAGAGUUCUUGGCUUUCUACACAUUGUUACUUCAUUUUCAAGCUGAGGAAUCAAUUGGUCAUUUGUUAUGUGCUUGUUUGUGAUCAUUGGGAAGCAGAUUUAGGGUUUUGAAAGGUCAAAUGCUAAUCAACAGAAGAAGAAAUUUACACCCCAUGCCAACAUAAAGAGAUAAUUGUGGUUAGGAUAGAUUUCAUAUAAUUAACUUCAACUAACUUCUCAUGACCUGCCAUUCCUAGUCAUCAUUCAGUUAGUUAUUUCCUUGCUAUGCCCAUGAUCGAUGCAUCGACCGUUUGCCACUUGUUUUCAUCCAAAAACCUGUCAUUUUCUCUCCGAUCUCGAUCCACUAGAAUGGAUCAAACUGGAUUCUUUCUUCCUCUGGAAUAAUGUAAAGCUAGACUAAAAUUUUAUACAUUCCUCUAUUGGUUGAUGGUUUAUUAAUGGUGAGAUAUCUUGUACAAAUUGAAUCAUCAAGGUCAUUGGAGUGGUGUCCUUGUUGACUAAUUAAUGGGUCCAUGUUUCAUGAUCAUAAGGCCAUCUUGCAUGAUUCAAAUAUACCCUAUUGAAAUGGUAUACAUACACAUGCACAUUGUUCAAAAACGCCCUAGAAAAAGGAAAGGAGGAUAAAAAGAAAUACAAGUCGUCCACUAGUGCCAUAUGUGGAAAAGUAGUGAGCAUACAGAUCUCAACUCCCCUAGAGAAAAUUGUCCUCGUAUGGAACCUCAACAAUGAAUUCUAGAGAAAGCUGUCAAGUGAUCACAGUCCAGAUGAAUCUUGAUUUAGAAGUUAGAAAAAUGAAGGGUUGUUAGGUUAGGGUAGUUAGUCAAUGGCACAAAGAUGUUAUCUUAAAAGUUGUGGAGGAGAGGAGAGGAGAGGAGAGAGUCAGAAAAAAGAAUGAACCUAUCAGAAGAAAGUAAGAAACAUCAAACUAUAAUCUUAUUAACAUGGAACGAUAAUCAUGAUAAAGCCACACAACAAGGGUUUCACAAGGACACACAGAGAGACCCAGGAAACAAGACACAAACUCAUCCAACAUAGCUCAGACAUAGAAAUUAUUUAGCAUAGUUGCUCACUGGCAAUUGUAAAUCUAAUUACACAACAAGCACACAUGCAUGCGUCUAGAAAAGAUGGUGAUGCUUCUUUCCAUGAGCCUCUUCAUCUUCUUCCUUGGCUUCUUUCUUCUCGUGAUGCUCGUGGAACGCGAACCCGCCAGCUCCCACUGCAGCAGCCGCGGCAAUCUCUUCUUCUAUCUUGUGCUUGUGGGCAUGCUCAGGGUCUUUCUCCGACUUGUGCUUCUCAUGCUAUAAUUCAAGCAUCAUCAAGACGAUAAGAAAUAGUUCCUUUGUAUAAAAUUAAUUAAAACAAAAAUAUUUUCAAACUUCAUGACACACGGGGCAUUACCAAGGCGUAAGCGCCAGCAGCAGCGACGCCGAGCUCGCCGAGGUGCUCGAGAUGCUUGUGGUGCUUCUCCUCCUUCCUGUAGUCAGGGCCUGGGUCAUCUGCUAACACUUCGGUGGUUUCGGCAGCGUAGCCGCUGACACCAUCGGUAGCAUAGCUGGUGUCGGAGUAGGUGGUGUCGGAGUAGGGAACGGCGUCGUCAACAGGCUUGUCCUUGUGGUGGAAGAGGUGGUGGUGAUGCUUCUCCUCCGACAUGGUGGUGGUGAUCAAAUUAGCUGCAGAAACGAGAGAGGAAGAUGGUUUGUGAACUGUGAAGGUGUGAUGUGGGAGAGUGCAGUGGUGGGUGGUGGGGUAUUUAUAAAUGCUGGUUGCGAAGGUGUCCAAAGAUCGUGGGAGAGAUGAAUGGGUAUUGGGAAUGGCCCGAAUGGGUGGGGCCUCACCAUUCACCAUUCUUAUCUACAUUUUUCAAAUCUCGAUGGCUCCUACUCUGUCGAUACUUUGUUUUUGUGUCGGCAAUUUCAUUGGAUCUUUAACCACGACAUUUUUUAACCACAUUUUUAGAUUUCCGUGAUAUUAUCAUAAUUGUUUUUGUUAGUCAUUCGUUGGAUUUAUUUCAAAAGUAGGAAAAUGUUUGAAAAAUAUACAUCAUCAUUUGCGUCUUUGAUCCACUCUCAAUAGGAAAUAAAUAAAUAAGAAAAGAAAACCACAAAGUCUCAGGUAGCAAAGAGUCCAUAUCAAAGUAUCAAACCUUUUUAUCGAUGAAUAUUUUUAGGAAGAACAAUCUAUUAUUUGUAAAAUAAUUUUUAUAUAUUGAGUGAUAACCCUUCAAUUCGAUAUCGUUAGAUCAUUAAGGUCGGCUUUUGUCCCUAUUCGACGGGUGGAUCUUGUAGUCAAACUCCCUUUUACCUUUGCACUCAAGGUCCAUCUUUGUUUUGCUUGAGAAAACCUUUGUUAAUUUCCAUUACCUUUUGAGAGACUUACGCUCUAUAAAAAUUAUUUAUCUAUUCCUUGACGAGGAAAUUCAAAUUCUUUUACUUAAAUUUAUUUUAUAAAACAUUAAAAAAGGUUAAAUAUAAUAAAAUUAUUAAAAAUUUGAAUUUAAGAAAUCAUUUAUUUUUUAAAUUUUGACAUGAACAUAUAUGGGUAAAAAACAAAAAGAGACAAAAACAAAAUAUGUUUUUUUGUGCAGUAAUCAAUUAAAAAAUCACUUUCAAUUUAAUAAAAGAUGUAAUUUUUAAUAUUAAAGCUUAGAGAAAAAAGAAUUGACUUGAUUGGAAUGAAUUACAAAAAUCACACCCCAAUGAAGAGGAACCCCAUACAGCACCUCCUUUCCUUUUCAUAAAGCAAAGACCUUUCAUCAGUAGGCAUGUGAAGGAGGGAAAUGAACUUGGCAGAUUCCACCUUAAAGUGCUAAAACAUGGCACUUGCCCCUCUUUCUAAUCAAACUUAACCCCACCUACAUUAUCUACAUUAUUUAUUGUACAUUAUCUUUCUCCAACUAAUACUAGUAUUUCACAUCUCACAAUUUUUUUAUUCUAUUGGAUGUGAGUCUAUUAUUGCAGUUAGGUCAGCUAAUCAGGAUCCCAUGGAUAAGGUGCCACAUAUUAAUAUUUUAGCCUUUUAGGUGUUGCUAUUCAUCCUCCUUUAUGACUUGGGCUCCAUUUCUUUGCUUGAACCUCACUUUUAGGGUAAUUUCUUUUCUUGGACUAUUAGUUUAUUUGUUGCACAUAAAAAGGCCACUUUAAUGGCCGUCAAACUUUGAUAAAAUAUGUCUUAUUUUGUACUUUAAGGUGGUGUUUAUUUUUUAAUUGAAUAAAAAAAAAAUAAAAAUAUUUGAUUUUUUCUAUUUAAUUAAAAGUAAUUUGUUGAGAUCGUUCAAUGUAACUAAAAUGAACUUGUUAUCAAUAAAUUUACUUUAGUUAUGUUAGACAAUAUUAAUAGGUUACUUUUAAUUGAAUAGAAAUAAAAGUCAUUUUAAUUAUAUUGGACAAUAUUAACAAGUUAUUUUUAGUUGAAUAGAAAAAACUAAAUAUUUUAAUUUUUUUUAUUCAGUCAAAAAACAAACAUCACCUAUAAAAAUUGAUAACUUUUAUAUAUUUGUACUAUGGUAGAUGGGCUUGGCCCACUUGGGCGUAGGGUAGAUAUUUGAAUUUUGAACAGAAAAAAAAAAAAGGGAAAAAAGGAAAAAAGGAAAGGGGAAAGAGAAGGAGAAGAUAAAUCAAUAAAUCAUAAAAGCAGGAAGGAGAGGUGGAAAAUGGUCCUCUGGUCUGGACCAGGAGAAAGUGGCCGGUGAUGGGGCCCAUUGGGUCUGUGUCGGCAAGGCCCCAUUUAUUUCGGCAUCAAUAUACCUGCCUGAUUGGUUCCAUGCCUGCCAUAUGUUUACGCUUUUGUCAAUUAUUAUAAAAAACAACUUCUUUGUCAAUAAACUCUUUAAUUUUUACUUCUCUAUCGUCUUUAAUGGGUGUGAAAAAAGUCAUACAUGCCUAUUGUAUUCUUCUCCUUUUUAGUAGGUAAAAACCUACAGGCUAUCCCUAAACUGAAUUUUAUAAUAUUUCAGAAAAUAUGAAAUUUAUUUUUAAUUAAUAAAAAUUUGGAUUAAAUAUCAAUCAUAAUUUCAUAACUGAUAUGGCCGGUGAUAAAGAACGAGUGAGUCACGCUAGGGCCACGGAUGUAUCACAUUCAUGGUGUGCCUGGGCUUAGUGGUUGAUGUGAAAUAGAUAUAGGUGUAGCGCAUAGUGUAAACGGGCCCAGGGAAAUUCAAAAUCGCGUUGCCACGUUCCAUAGAAAGGACAAGAAAUUAGAAGCUGGGAGUGGUCCACGUCUUCCAGGUAACCCCCACGCUGCUAACGAUUAUUCAAUGCCUUCCUACUCCAAAUCAAACCUAAUGUUCAACAUCGACAUGUCUCAUAUGACACAUCCUUAUAGAUGAAGUUGGUGAACUGUGGAGAAGAGAGAGUAAGGGCGUGUGAGCGGAGAUAAUUCACAAUUGAUUGGCAGGUUUCGGAUAUUUUCUUCGGCUUUGUCCUGGGUUUUUGGAAAGGUUUGAUUGGCCCGACCCAAUCCUACAACCCAUACUAAACCACACAAUCGAAUCCUACGAGAGACCAAACCCAACCUUAAAUCAAGUUCCUCAUUAUGGGCUUCAUAGCCCAACUUAGCACUCCAGCCCAUCCUAACAUUGGGAAAAAUAAAUUAAUGAAAAUUAAGACUAGAUAUGAAUAAUUUCUUUUAUUAUCUUAAACUGCUGAAAGGGAUUAGUUAUCCUACACAGCUUGAACAGAAAAAGAGCCCUCUAAAACUCACCUACUUGAGAUUUAAGGCAUAAAAAAGUCCUUACCUUAAUAAUUGUAAGAGAUCGUUGGAUCAAAUGAUUCAAAUCUGGGACUUGCUCACACAAUCAAUCCAUUUCAUGAGACGAAUUACCAGUGAGGCUCUCUUCACCAUCUACAAGAUUUCGGAUGUAGCGAGUCAAGUAAGAACUUGGACCAUAGCAAAUGCUUGAUAAAAACCCUCCAUACAGUAAGCAAUGGAUGCCAAGCUUAAACAGAUUUUUCCUCUCUUGGUUGGUGUCUCUCUGUGCUUCAUACCCACCAGUACUUUCUUCAUCCCAACUCGAAGAAUCCAUGGCAGUGCAGCCUGAAUGAGCCUGAAAACCCCAGAUCUUGGAAGUUUCCAUCUUUUGCAGCCAGUUGGAAUCAAUGGGAUCUUUAAAUUUUUUACAAAGAUGGUGUCCCUGGAUCAGAAAACUCCAAACUUUUGGUGUAAUACUUGAGACACAGUUAAGGAACUGCUUAGAUAUGUUCUCCAAUCCUCCAUUAUGAGCUUGACUCCCAAAAAAAUUGGCCUCGAAUUCAUCUGCUAGUGAGCACUCAUUGCAUUUAUGACUCUGAAGAGACGAAAGAUUUAGAACAGGCAACCUCCCUUUCACAAAGGAAUUCAAUAGUGAGCUUCUAGCAAGACUUAAAAGGGACUCCCCAGCAUUCAUCCAGAAGUUUGCAAUUGAUGCGAUCAAAGAAGAGUCAGAGAGGAAAAUACGGUGGGUUGCACCUGCAAGCAACAAGGAGUAUGCUGCACUGGUCUUGAUCAAGCUCAAGGCUUCCAGCUCAUCUCCGUCCAUUUCAGAAUGCAGAUCCAGUAAUUGACUAGCACGGACUCUGUAUGCAGAAGCCAGUGUUGUGUAGGCGGCCAAAGAGAGAUGGUGCAGGGGGUGCAACUUGAAAUUUGCUUGUGAUUUUCCCUCAAUUGGUUCUAACUGCUCAUCUGGAAGACCUUGAGCAAUAACAUUCUCAAGCUUCUCACAGCAAGCUUCAGGGUUGCCAACUGACAAAUAGUCAGCUAUAGCAUCAUCUACAUAAUCAGUCAACUUUCUGAUUUCCUCCUCUCUACACAUGUUAUCAUCUAUGUAAUUGAGACUAUGAGCCAAAGUUUCCUAUAGGGAAGAACAGAGAAAUGUCAAUCCUUGUUUUAUGACAGUACUAGAAUUCAGGCACUUCAAUUGCAGAUUAAAAAAUGCUUGUGAAGUUCAGACUUCAGAGUUGAUACAGAAAUAUUGUGAGUACUUCACCGUACAAAGUGGCCCCCGAAAAAUAACCAGAGUGGACAAGGGAAAGGAUAAAACAGGAUGAGAAAAGCUACUAUGAAUUACUCAAUAGCUUUUCCUAGUUCCAAUUGAUAUGGAGAAAAAGACUCCAACUGUCUGUCAGCCUUUUGAGAAGGAAAAAGCAGAUGUAACUAAGGGAGACAACUUGAAGAAACAAAAGAUAUGAAAGGCAAAGAAGAAAAUAAAUAGCACACAUACAGAUUCUGGAUGCAGCUCUAAUUGCAAAUGACGCAGCUGACUCAAGGGAGAGAAGCUCUAGGGCUGGUUUAGUUUGCAAGUUGGACAUAUGUACUUUGGUGUGCCCCUUUUGGCAUUUUAAUACAAUUUGCACUUACCUAUCAAAAAAAAAAAAAAGUUUGCAAUUUGGACAUAGAAAAGGCUUAUGACCAUGUUGAUUGGAAUUUUCUCCUCCCAGUAACGAAAAAGAUGGAGUUUGGUCUAAAAUCGAGAAAGUGGAUUCAUUUUUCCAUUGUAAGGAUGUCAAUCUUAGUCAAUGUUUCUCCUUCAGAUUUCUUUCAGACAUCUAGAGGAUUGUGGCAGGGUGAUCCUCUCUCACCCUAUCUCUUCAUGAUUGUCAUGGAAGCUCUACAUUGUAUACUCUCAAGGGCUGACUAGGGAGUGUUCAUUCAUGGCUUCAAGGUCAGGGGCAGAAGGGGUGAAGGUUUCCAAGUAUUCCAUCUCCUGUUUAAGGAUGAUAGAAAAAUUUGGAUCAACUAAGAUACUGGAGGUGGAUUGUAAUAGGCUUCAAGGUUGUGUUAGGUCUGAAAAUAAACCUGUAAAAAAGUAACUCAUUCUAAUGGGGAAAGUGGAGGAUGUGGUGAGAUCAUCAUCUUUGCUUGGGUGUAAGAUUGGAAGGCUUCCCACUUCUUAUCAUGGUUUGCCCUUUGGAGUGCUUCAUAAGUAUUGCGUUGUAUGGGAUGCUGUCAAGGAAAUGUUUGGUAAAAGAUUGGCUUCUUGGAAGGUGUGGUAUUUGUCAAAAAGAGGAAGAUUAGUUCUUUCAAAGAGCACUUUCUCAAGCUUAUCAAUCUAUUUUAUGGCCUUUUUUUCUAUUUCCAGGAAAGUGAGGAUCAAAUCAUAAAGGAUUCAGAGAGACUUUUUGUAAGGAAAUCUUUGGUAAACCAAUAAGAUGCAUUNNNNNNNNNNNNNNNNNNNNNNNNNNNNNNNNNNNNNNNNNNNNNNNNNNNNNNNNNNNNNNNNNNNNNNNNNNNNNNNNNNNNNNNNNNNNNNNNNNNNAGGAAGAACAUCCAAAGAAAGUGCAGGGAACUGGUCAAGGGGUGGAACAUUUGUGAGGUGAGGGAGACUUCUGGUAUAAGCCUAUGGAAAGACUUAAGAAAAGGUUGGGAGGAAUUCAACCACAGGAUAGCUAUCCAAAUUAAAAAUGGUAGCCAGACAAAAUUUUAGAGGGAUGGGUGGGUGGGUGGGGGGGAACUGUUUGAAAGAAGCAUUUCCUCUAUUGUUUAGUCUAGCUUCUCAAAAGAAUGCCAUUGUUGCAAACAUGUGGGAUGGGAGAGGUAGUGGAGGCCAGUGGGUGCAUUUCAAAAGGCCAUUCCAAGAUUGGGAAAUGGAGGGGGUGUCCUAAUUUUUAGAACUUAUUUAUUCAUACAGCAAAAGUGCAAGAAGAAGGGAAAGAUAUCUUAGUUUGGAAGGAGGAUAGGAAGAGAAUCUUCAGUACUAAGUUGUACUACAGUUCAUUGUGUGCCGAAUUUAGAGUGGACUUCCCAACCAAAGAAAUUUGGGGGCUCCCAAGCUCUUACGAGAUCAUGUUUUCUCACUUGGGAAACAGUAUGGGAGAAGAUCUCAACCAUAGAUUUGUUAAUGAAGAGGGAUGGACAAUGUUAAUAGAUAUAGUCUUUGCAAAGAGAGUGAUGAGUCUGCUGAUCAAAUUUUCAUUCACUGUGCAAUGACAAAGGUAUUAUAGAUGUUUGUUUUAUCAAUUUUUAGUUAGAAAUAAGUUUCUAGCUACAGUGAGGAAUAUGCUUCUCAAGUGGAAGUUUUUAAGGUAUUGGACAAGAAGAGUCACCAUCUUUGACAAAUGACACCCCUCUGCUUAUUCUGGUGUAUAUGGAAAGAGGGAAACCAUAAAAUCUUUAAUGGGGAAGAGCUUGCAUAUUAGAGAUUAAAAGAGAGCUUUAUUAAAUCCCUCUUUGAUUGGUCCAAAGUUCUGUUAGAAAUGGGCAAUUCUGAAUGAUGGCUUUCGUAAAUGGUCUUAGUUGUGGAUAGUUUGGUUUUGAGUUGAGGUUGUUUUUUUAUUCGUUGUUUUGUUUUUUUUGUGUUUACUCCCAGUAUAUGUAAGGUAUGCCCCCUUUCAUUGGCAUGCUCUUUUAAUAUAUUAUCCUUUUGCUUAUCAAAAGAAAAAAAGAAAAAAGAAAAAAGAAAAAUAAAGAGAACACAUAAAUCAGGGGAAGGAUGAAGGAAUUAAACCAAUAGGAAUGAGAAACAGUUGGGUAUAUUUUUUCGACAGAUACUUCAUGCAGCAGGGGCAAGAUGGGGGAAAACCUUACCACUCCUGGUGCCAUAAAUGUGGCAUAUAUGCAUCGUGUUCUAACUCCACACCUAGUACUAUAAUUUUCACAGAAGACGAUCACCCUUCCCCACCCAGCAAAUCUAAAAUCAAGUUGCAAAAUGAAUCUUCUAGACUGCUUUCGGAUUUCUCCUAAACAUCAAAAUAAACAAAUGAUAGGCAUACUGUUCCAUAGAAGUCUUACUUGCAAAACAAGAUCCACAUAAGUAGGGGGCGAUGCAUUACAACGGUUACAGCAACAGGAAAACCAAUACUUCACCCAUAACUCUGCAUGUCUAAUUUCCUGGAAAAUCAAAUCAGUGCAAAUAAAAGCGUAUAACGUGAACUCAAAAAACUAAAAAAAAAACAGAGUAUAGAAGGAUGAGUUGGAACACAUUUUAGCACAAUGCCACUGAGUUCACUUACACUAUGGUGAUUAUGCAAGUAAUAUAAAAUCAUGCAACUUCUCAUUAGGUCGACUCCUUGUCAUUUUUCGCAAUCACUUCAAACAUAAGGCACAAUGCAAUAAUCUAAAAGCUUAAAAGUAAUAGCAGAUAUGCCAAAUUUACAAGCACAUUUUGCACAUUCAAUCUCUUAACAGUGGAACUGUAGAUACUGAAAAUGAAGAUUACCUUAGGCUGCAACAGGUCUAUGUAUGCAACCCACACCUCCUCACCCUUUUUAAUUGCCUUGAUGCUCCGAACGAUGAUUCUUGGCCCGUGUAUGUUGCAUCCUUUACUAGAGAAAAUCAAUUACAAGUAGAUAAUCAAAAUAUCCAAUAAAUUCACAACUGAUUUUUUUGAGAAACCAAAUUGAAAAAAACAUAAAAUAAUUAAAAUAAAAAAGAUUCAAUCACCUUCUAUUGAUUCACUUUUGCUACGAACAGCAUUCUGUAUCUGAAAAACAUUUCGGUUUCAUAAUUUUCAAAUCCUUUGAAUAUGGUUAAAAUUAAAGAAACAAUUCAGAAUUUAGGAAUAGUGAUCUAUUUUUCUUUACUUCAAUUUCAUCAUUGCCUCCAGGGAUAAUCUGGAGCCUCGACUCGCCAGAAAACUGGGGCGUCUCAGGUGAACGGAGCAAGAAACGGUAACAAGCAUUGGGAGAACAGCUGUGAUUGAUCCAAGAGAAGCACCAAUCGUAGACGGCUAUCCCUAGGGCGGACCCUCCAUUAACCUGCACUUCAACUGCAUUGGUGAGGACCAGGCAGAGCAGGGCCUCCUCCAGUUUGGAGUCCCCGGAGAAUUCCGUACCAUCUCGCAUACAUCGGGCAACGGCCAUGGCCUUGCCGCCGUCUCGGAUUCUCGUCAGAGUCUCAUCACUUUCCGAGUUGUGGGAGGGUGAGAUGAGGUGGUGGAGGUUGGUGAGUAGGCCGCAGAUUCGAUGGAGCGGUUGGGUAUGGAGGGGAGGGAGGUGGAGGAUGUGGAGGAGGCGGAGGGCAGCACGGAGGUCGGAGGAGUGAGCGGUGGAGGGGUGGGAAUGGCGGAGGAGGAGGAAGAGGUGGUGCUCGGCGCUGGAGAAGUGGAG